AUAAGAUUAAGUUAUUUAGACUACAUGUUUUCAAAACAUGCAGAGGCGAAUUGGCCAUCUUAUG
This 64-nucleotide transfer RNA is filed under the name Rhinebothrium scobinae. RNAcentral describes it as "tRNA-Trp". The record is from RNAcentral. Lineage: Eukaryota; Metazoa; Platyhelminthes; Cestoda; Rhinebothriidea; Rhinebothriidae.